GCCAAGUAGCAUAUGCUUGUCUCAAAGAUUAAGCCAUGCAAGUCUAAGUACACACGGCCGGUACAGUGAAACUGCGAAUGGCUCAUUAAAUCAGUUAUGGUUCCUUUGAUCGCUCUACCGUUACUUGGAUAACUGUGGUAAUUCUAGAGCUAAUACAUGCCAACGAGCGCUGACCUCCGGGGAUGCGUGCAUUUAUCAGACCCAAAACCCAUGCGGGGUUGGCUCUCGGGCCGCCCCGGCCGCUUUGGUGACUCUAGAUAACCUCGAGCCGAUCGCUGGCCCCCGUGGCGGCGACGUCUCAUUCGAAUGUCUGCCCUAUCAACUUUCGAUGGUACUUUCUGUGCCUACCAUGGUGACCACGGGUAACGGGGAAUCAGGGUUCGAUUCCGGAGAGGGAGCCUGAGAAACGGCUACCACAUCCAAGGAAGGCAGCAGGCGCGCAAAUUACCCACUCCCGACUCGGGGAGGUAGUGACGAAAAAUAACAAUACAGGACUCUUUCGAGGCCCUGUAAUUGGAAUGAGUACACUUUAAAUCCUUUAACGAGGAUCCAUUGGAGGCAAGUCU
This 566-nucleotide ribosomal RNA is filed under the name Rhabdosargus sarba (goldlined seabream). Its description in RNAcentral is "SSU rRNA". It matches the Rfam family "Eukaryotic small subunit ribosomal RNA", at positions 16 to 562 of the family's 1831-position model. The record is from RNAcentral. Lineage: Eukaryota; Metazoa; Chordata; Actinopteri; Spariformes; Sparidae.